This 447-nucleotide ribosomal RNA is filed under the name uncultured bacterium. RNAcentral describes it as "bacterial SSU rRNA". It matches the Rfam family "Bacterial small subunit ribosomal RNA", at positions 16 to 507 of the family's 1533-position model. The record is from RNAcentral.
AUCAUGGCUCAGAACGAACGCUGGCGGCAGGCUUAACACAUGCAAGUCGAACGGUUGUAGCAAUACAGCAGUGGCGCACGGGUGAGUAACGCGUGGAUAUCUGCCUUUGGUUCGGAAUAACUCCGGGAAACUGGAGCUAAUACCGGAUGGUUCCUGCGGGAUAAAGAUUUAUCGCCAAAGAUGAGUCCGCGUACGAUUAGCUAGUUGGUGAGGUAAAUGGCUCACCAAGGGCGACGAUCGUUAGCUGGUCUGAGAGGACGAUCAGCCACACUGGGACUGAGACACGGCCCAGACUCCUACGGGAGGCAGCAGUGGGGAAUAUUGAACAAUGGGGGCAACCCUGAUCCAGCCAUGCCGCGUGAGUGAUGAAGGCCUUCGGGUUGUAAAGCUCUUUUGGCGGGGACGAUGAUGACGGUACCCGCAGAAUAAGCCCCGGCUAACUUCGUG